CAGUCGCCGCGGGAAUACAGAGGGUGCGAGCGUUAAUCGGAUUUACUGGGCGUAAAGCGUGCGUAGGCGGCUUUUUAAGUCGGAUGUGAAAUCCCUGAGCUUAACUUAGGAAUUGCAUUCGAUACUGGGAAGCUAGAGUAUGGGAGAGGAUGGUAGAAUUCCAGGUGUAGCGGUGAAAUGCGUAGAGAUCUGGAGGAAUACCGAUGGCGAAGGCAGCCAUCUGGCCUAAUACUGACGCUGAGGUACGAGAGCAUGGGGAGCAAACAGGAUUAGAUACCCGCGUAGUCCCUGUCUCUUAUAC
Molecule: ribosomal RNA, 301 nt
Filed under: uncultured bacterium
Lineage: Bacteria
Description: partial 16S ribosomal RNA
Rfam family: Bacterial small subunit ribosomal RNA
Source: RNAcentral